UACGUAGGUGGCAAGCGUUGUCCGGAUUUACUUGGCGUAAAGAGCGCGCAGGCGGUCAGAUAAGUCGAAUGUGAAAGCCCCCGGCUCAACUGGGGAGGGUCAUUCGAUACUGUUCGACUCGAAGGCAGGAGAGGGAAGCGGAAUUCCCGGUGUAGUGGUGAAAUGCGUAGAUAUCGGGAGGAACACCAGUGGCGAAGGCGGCUUCCUGGCCUGUUCUUGACGCUGAGGCGCGAAAGCUAGGGGAGCAAACGGG
This 253-nucleotide ribosomal RNA is filed under the name uncultured bacterium. RNAcentral describes it as "partial 16S ribosomal RNA". It matches the Rfam family "Bacterial small subunit ribosomal RNA", at positions 524 to 776 of the family's 1533-position model. The record is from RNAcentral.